RNAcentral lists this ribosomal RNA (453 nucleotides) under Thelazia callipaeda (thelaziosis nematode). Its description in RNAcentral is "partial 12S ribosomal RNA". The record is from RNAcentral. Lineage: Eukaryota; Metazoa; Nematoda; Chromadorea; Rhabditida; Thelaziidae.
UUUUAAUUUUUAACUCUAAUUGUUGUGAAACUUUUUUCUUUUAUUUUUUUUUAUUUAAUGUUUUGUAAAAUAUUUAUUAUUUUUUUAUUUUUGUGAGAAGUUUUUUAAAUUUGUUUUAUUGAACUGGAUUAGUACCCAGGUAAUCAAAAUUUAUUAGUUCGGGAGUAAAGUUGUAUUUAAACCGAAAAAAUAUUGACUGACCUUAGAUUUUUUUUUGGAACAUGUUUUGGAGAGCCCUCCUUGGUAGUUUUUUUUUAGGUGCAUGUAUGAUUGUUUAGUUUUUAUAUUAAUUUUGAGGCUUGUUUUUGUUUUAAAACAGAUAUAUACUUGGCUAAUAAAAGAUUUUUUAUGUGUUACUAUUUUUUAUUUAUCCGGAUGUAAUUUUUAUUAAUUAUUGAAGUUGGAAAAAAAAGUAAUUUUAUUUUAAUGUUAAAGUGAAUUAAAUAAAUGAGG